This 353-nucleotide unclassified non-coding RNA is filed under the name Basidiomycota sp. RNAcentral describes it as "partial contains small subunit ribosomal RNA and internal transcribed spacer 1". The stretch from base 1 to 47 matches the Rfam family "Eukaryotic small subunit ribosomal RNA", at positions 1785 to 1831 of the family's 1831-position model. Lineage: Eukaryota; Fungi; Basidiomycota. The record is from RNAcentral.
AAAGUCGUAACAAGGUUUCCGUAGGUGAACCUGCGGAAGGAUCAUUACAAAUCAAAAAGAUUCUCCUUAAAGUCCAUGCAGCGGGGCAGGAGGAAGCCGGUGACAAGUUGGGCACGAGGGUUGUCACCGGUAGACCGCUUCAUGAAAACAUGUCACUGUUGUGCUGCUACUGCUGUCACCGUCCCACAUAAGGAGCGGUGGUGGCAGUAGCGCUCACAGUGUCAUAUCUCAUUGUUAAAUCCUUUCAUGCUGACCGAUUGACUGCGAUGCCAUUGUGCAUCGUCGUUGUCGUCGUAGCAAUAUCUCAAUGAUAACGAGAUGACAGCCUUUUAACAACGGAUCUCUCGGCUCUU